UGCUGCUGCUGAGGUUGCGCUUCUGGAGAUCCAGCAGCGAAGGCCCGCCCCUUCUUCUUCCUCUUCUUCUCCACCAUCUUCCCCAUUCCCUCUCUCUCUCUCUCUCUCUCUCUCUCUGUACUUUCUCUCUCCUCUUUCUCUCUCUAUGUGGGGGUUCGUCGUCGGACAAGCGGGGGGGCGUUAACCUUUUUUUUCUUUUUUUCUUAUUUUUUCCCCCUAUUUUAAUAUAUAUAUGUCCGCAUUUCGUUUCGCAGAGGAGAUAUAUAUAUUCUUUUU
RNAcentral lists this long non-coding RNA (276 nucleotides) under Eucalyptus grandis. Its description in RNAcentral is "long non-coding RNA (EGRA_LNC005641)". Lineage: Eukaryota; Viridiplantae; Streptophyta; Magnoliopsida; Myrtales; Myrtaceae. The record is from RNAcentral.